This 106-nucleotide ribosomal RNA is filed under the name Hansenula anomala. RNAcentral describes it as "Wickerhamomyces anomalus partial 18S ribosomal RNA". It matches the Rfam family "Eukaryotic small subunit ribosomal RNA", at positions 1727 to 1831 of the family's 1831-position model. Lineage: Eukaryota; Fungi; Ascomycota; Saccharomycetes; Phaffomycetales; Wickerhamomycetaceae. The record is from RNAcentral.
AGGCAAACUUCCACUUCGGGCCAAAAGAAGCUAGUCAAACUUGGUCAUUAGAGGAAGUAAAAGUUGUAACAAGUUUCCGUAGGGUGAACCUGCGGAAGGAUCAUUA